Molecule: RNA transcript, 913 nt
Organism: Papaver somniferum (opium poppy)
Lineage: Eukaryota; Viridiplantae; Streptophyta; Magnoliopsida; Ranunculales; Papaveraceae
Gene name: glycine-rich RNA-binding protein 4, mitochondrial-like
Exons: 6
Source: RefSeq, a predicted model, not a curated record
ACUAAACCAGGGAUAGUAGUGGUAUAUGGACCUGGUGUGGAAGUGGAAGGGAGUCAGCUGAAACAUCAGCAGAGAAAAACAAUUUGCGUCGUGGAUUCGCAGUUUCGCACCAUUCAGUGGUACUAGUGAUGUUUCUAGUGCGAAAACUAACUGCUCGUAACCCUACUGGCAACGUCCGCUUCUUUUGUGCACCUCCAUCCUCCACACCGUCACCCAACUACAACACCACCAACAACACUACUACUACCAACAACAAACUAUUCGUUGGAGGUCUGUCAUGGGGAGUAGAUGAGAAAUCAUUGACCGAAGCUUUCUCUUCUUUUGGAAAUGUUACAGAAGUGAGGAUUAUCUAUGACAAGGAUUCUGGAAGGUCAAGGGGAUUUGGUUUUGUUCACUUUUCAACAAACAAUGAUGCUAGAUCUGCCAAAGAUGCCAUGGAUGGAAAGGCAUUUUUGGGUCGACCACUACGCAUAAGUUUUGCUCUUGAGAAGGUUCGUGGUGGACCUGUGGUAGUCCCUCGUCUUUCUAAUGUAACAGAUGUUAGUCGCCGAAAUAAUUGAAAUCAACCCGGAACUCAGACAACUAGUGCCCUUCUAGACUGCAUAAAUACACAACACCUCCAUAUUUUUCCAGAUUCAUUGCUGAACCACAAGAAGUUCAAAAAUAUAGGAUAGGAUGGGUUUGCAUGGGGAUGAUCGAGCCAAGACGUGCAAAUAAAAAUAGUUUUUAAGUAGACGACGGAAAAAGAAAUCGUUCGAGGCUAGAAUUCAUUUUAUAUAUUUUGAACAGCAAACUGUUGGAUCCAAUGAUGAUUAUAUAUAGCUUGUUUGUCUAGUUUCUUGGGGAAGCAAGAUUUAGUAUGUGUAGGAACAGCUAGAGAUCAAAAUUCAAAAUCUUGAUGGACCUUUUGAAU